Monopterus albus (swamp eel) is the source of this 496-nucleotide long non-coding RNA. RefSeq lists it as uncharacterized. Lineage: Eukaryota; Metazoa; Chordata; Actinopteri; Synbranchiformes; Synbranchidae. The record is from RefSeq and is a predicted model, not a curated record. The transcript is spliced from 3 exons.
CAGUUUUCUUCAAACAGAUUAAUCACGAAAACCGAGGUUCCACUGUACGUGCAAGCAGAACACUUUACGACGCAAAAAAGAUGCCUGCUUGUCUGUAAUAACAAACGAGAUUUUUGAUUACAUUAAAGACACAAAGCACCUUCAGCCAAGCUACUCGGUACGACAAUGCUAGCAUGCUGAUGUUUGUGCCGGAAAAUAUUUCGUCGUGCUAUGCAUGACAAAGAUUCUUGACUCUUUAGCAGGUACUGCCUUCGUUAAAGAUUUAACAUGUUGUCUGACAAGUAUAAAUGGGCCAGGACGUGGCGACUCUCAGCUACCGUGGCAAAGUCAGCACAGCUCAGGUCUGUGUUCUAUUCACUACACCCCCCAUCUGCUUCGCACACACUGGCCAUUUUCAACAUUACAGGUGUGCGACAGUCCCUCGAGGGCCAGGCCCCGGCUCCUGCAGCUCCAGCUCCAGGUAGUUGAGCUGCUUCUUAGACGUGGGACUAACAGG